Molecule: ribosomal RNA, 466 nt
Filed under: uncultured bacterium
Lineage: Bacteria
Description: partial 16S ribosomal RNA
Rfam family: Bacterial small subunit ribosomal RNA
Source: RNAcentral
GACGAACGCUGGCGGCGUGCUUAACACAUGCAAGUCGAACGGAAAGGCCUCUUUCGGGGGGUACUCGAGUGGCGAACGGGUGAGUAACACGUGAGUAACCUGCCCUUGACUUUGGGAUAACUUCAGGAAACUGGGGCUAAUACCGGAUAGGAGCUCCUGCUGCAUGGUGGGGGUUGGAAAGUUUCGGCGGUUGGGGAUGGACUCGCGGCUUAUCAGCUUGUUGGUGGGGUAGUGGCUACCAAGGCUUUGACGGGUAGCCGGCCUGAGAGGGUGACCGGCCACAUUGGGACUGAGAUACGGCCCAGACUCCUACGGGAGGCAGCAGUGGGGAAUAUUGCACAAUGGGUGGAAGCCUGAUGCAGCAACGCCGUGUGCGGGAUGACGGCCCUCGGGUUGUAAACCGCUUUCGCUCAUGACGAAGCUUUGUGUGACGGUAGUGGGUAAAGAAGCACCGGCUAACUACGUG